RNAcentral lists this ribosomal RNA (253 nucleotides) under uncultured bacterium. RNAcentral's name for it is "partial 16S ribosomal RNA". It matches the Rfam family "Bacterial small subunit ribosomal RNA", at positions 524 to 776 of the family's 1533-position model. The record is from RNAcentral.
UACGUAGGUGGCAAGCGUUGUCCGGAUUUAUUGGGUUUAAAGGGUGCGUAGGCGGCCCUAUAAGUCAGUGCUGAAAUAUCCCGGCUUAACCGGGAGGGUGGCAUUGAUACUGUAGGGCUUGAGUAAAGUUGAGGUUGGCGGAAUUGACGGUGUAGCGGUGAAAUGCUUAGAUAUCAUCAAGAACACCUAUUGCGAAGGCAGCUAACUAAGCUUUAACUGACGCUGAGGCACGAAAGUGUGGGGAUCAAACAGG